Molecule: ribosomal RNA, 635 nt
Filed under: uncultured Actinomycetes bacterium
Lineage: Bacteria; Bacillati; Actinomycetota; Actinomycetes
Description: bacterial SSU rRNA
Rfam family: Bacterial small subunit ribosomal RNA
Source: RNAcentral
CGCCUGGGGAGUACGGGUGAGGUAACGGCUCACCAAGGCAACGACGGGUAGCUGGUCUGAGAGGACGAUCAGCCACACUGGGACUGAGACACGGCCCAGACUCCUACGGGAGGCAGCAGCAGGGAAUCUUGCGCAAUGGGCGAAAGCCUGACGCAGCCACGCCGCGUGAGGGAUGAAGGCUCUAGGGUCGUAAACCUCUUUCAGCAGGGACGAAAAUGACGGUACCUGCAGAAGAAGCUCCGGCCAACUACGUGCCAGCAGCCGCGGUAACACGUAGGGGGCGAGCGUUGUCCGGAUUUAUUGGGCGUAAAGAGCUCGUAGGCUGUUCAGUAAGUCAGGUGUGAAAACUCGAGGCUCAACCUCGAGACGCCACCUGAUACUGCUGUGACUAGGGUCCGGUAGGGGAGUGUGGAAUUCCUGGUGUAGCGGUGAAAUGCGCAGAUAUCAGGAGGAACACCAGCAGCGAAGGCGGCACUCUGGGCCGGUACUGACGCUCAGGAGCGAAAGCAUGGGGAGCGAACAGGAUUAGAUACCCUGGUAGUCCAUGCCGUAAACGUUGGGCACUAGGUGUGGGAUUUAACUAACAAAUUCCGUGCCGUAGCUAACGCAUUAAGUGCCCCGCCUGGGGAGUACGG